CCCGACUCCGUGAAGCUGGAUUCGCUAGUAAUCGCGCAUCAGCCAUGGCGCGGUGAAUACGUUCCCGGGCCUUGUACACACCGCCCGUCAAGCCAUGGGAGCCGGGGGUACCUGAAGUCCGUAACCGAAAGGAUCGGCCUAGGGUAAAACUGGUGACUGGGGCUAAGUCGUAACAAGGUAGCCGUACCGGAAGGUGCGGCUGGAACACCUCCUUU
RNAcentral lists this ribosomal RNA (215 nucleotides) under Parabacteroides distasonis. Its description in RNAcentral is "partial 16S ribosomal RNA". It matches the Rfam family "Bacterial small subunit ribosomal RNA", at positions 1311 to 1533 of the family's 1533-position model. Lineage: Bacteria; Pseudomonadati; Bacteroidota; Bacteroidia; Bacteroidales; Tannerellaceae. The record is from RNAcentral.